UGAUUCUUCCUCUGUGUAUGGCUGUUUGGUUUGUUGUUUACACUGUAAUUAUGGUGUAUGGGUUUGUAUUUAAGUUUUGAAAUAUGAUCACCUUCUUCAAAGCUUUGGCAUGAAGCUAUGAUAAAGUUAGGGGUUUUAAACUGUGAGUAAGGAAAAAUAAUUUAGAAUUUUGCAGUUUUUUUUGUUUUAAAAAUGUAUCAGUGUUUUUGUUGUUUGAAAAAUGUUUCAAUAUUUUUGUUUUAAA
This 244-nucleotide long non-coding RNA is filed under the name Lathyrus oleraceus (garden pea). RNAcentral describes it as "Pisum sativum (pea) long non-coding RNA (PSAT_LNC034971)". The record is from RNAcentral. Lineage: Eukaryota; Viridiplantae; Streptophyta; Magnoliopsida; Fabales; Fabaceae.